This 461-nucleotide ribosomal RNA is filed under the name uncultured bacterium. Its description in RNAcentral is "partial 16S ribosomal RNA". It matches the Rfam family "Bacterial small subunit ribosomal RNA", at positions 338 to 795 of the family's 1533-position model. The record is from RNAcentral.
CCUACGGGGGGGCAGCAGUGAGGAAUAUUGGUCAAUGGGCGGGAGCCUGAACCAGCCAAGUCGCGUGAGGGAAGACGGUCCUACGGAUUGUAAACCUCUUUUGCCGGGGAGCAACGGGGUCCUUGCGAGGGCCCGAUGAGAGUACCCGGAGAAAAAGCAUCGGCUAACUCCGUGCCAGCAGCCGCGGUAAUACGGAGGAUGCGAGCGUUAUCCGGAUUUAUUGGGUUUAAAGGGUGCGUAGGCGGGCUGUUAAGUCAGCGGUCAAAUGUCGGGGCUCAACCCCGGCCUGCCGUUGAAACUGGCGGCCUCGAGUGGGUGAGAAGUAUGCGGAAUGCGUGGUGUAGCGGUGAAAUGCUUAGAGAUCAUACAGAACACCGAUUGCGAAGGCAGCUUACCAAACUAUAUCUGACGUUGAGGCACGAAAGCGUGGGUAGCAAACAGGAUUAGAUACCCGAGUAGUC